Molecule: ribosomal RNA, 125 nt
Organism: Lepisosteus oculatus (spotted gar)
Lineage: Eukaryota; Metazoa; Chordata; Actinopteri; Semionotiformes; Lepisosteidae
Source: Rfam
GCCAGCAGCCAUAUCACCCUGCAACUCACAACUGGUAACCCACUGAAGCUAAGCAGGUGAGCCCGUGAGCCUGGUCAGUACCUGGAUGGGAGACCUCCUGGGAAAAACUAAGGUUGCUGCUGGAA